GAUGAAGAACGUAGCAAAAUGCGAUAAGUAAUGUGAAUUGCAGAAUUCAGUGAAUCAUCGAAUCUUUGAACGCACAUUGCGCCCGCCAGUAUUCUGGCGGGCAUGCCUGUUCGAGCGUCAUUUCAACCCUCAAGCACAGCUUGGUGUUGGGACUCGCGUUAAUUCGCGUUCCCCAAAUUGAUUGGCGGUCACGUCGAGCUUCCAUAGCGUAGUAGUAAAACCCUCGUUACUGGUAAUCGUCGCGGCCACGCCGUUAAACCCCAACUUCUGAAUGUUGACCUCGGAUCAGGUAGGAAUACCCGCUGAACUUAAGCAUAUCAAUAAGCGGAGGAU
This 333-nucleotide unclassified non-coding RNA is filed under the name soil metagenome. RNAcentral's name for it is "partial contains 5.8S ribosomal RNA, internal transcribed spacer 2, and large subunit ribosomal RNA". The stretch from base 1 to 120 matches the Rfam family "5.8S ribosomal RNA", at positions 35 to 154 of the family's 154-position model. The record is from RNAcentral.